Molecule: long non-coding RNA, 151 nt
Organism: Haliotis rubra (blacklip abalone)
Lineage: Eukaryota; Metazoa; Mollusca; Gastropoda; Lepetellida; Haliotidae
Exons: 4
Source: RefSeq, a predicted model, not a curated record
UAAUUACUUUUAACUUUUUGUUGAUUUGAAUUCAGUGUAAAAAGAUAUGCUAAUCCAUCUGAGGAUCCAGGAAGCGUCAUUGCUUUGAUGAACAGAACCAGUGCCAAUACAAACAUCAGUGACAUGGUGAUGCAGAAAACCUGCAUGAAAA